Non-coding RNA from Aegilops tauschii subsp. strangulata, 1932 nucleotides. Lineage: Eukaryota; Viridiplantae; Streptophyta; Magnoliopsida; Poales; Poaceae. The record is from RefSeq and is a predicted model, not a curated record.
UGACCCCGAUCACGAUCCCCUUGUUCUCUCCCUCUCCUCUCGCGACCCCGACCCCGACCCCGAUCCCAACCCCGCCGCCGGCGAUGCCUCCCCCACACCUUCUUCCUCUUGUUCAAGUCAAGAUCACGCCAAGGAGGUCGUUCGAGCUGCUCUUGUCGCCACACCUCCCACGCCCGAUCCUGGCGAGGACAUAGCAGCCGGCGCCCUCGCGCACGACGGCGGCAGCGAGGUCGGCGCCCUCGUGGAGCGGCACGCGGCGCUGGCGGCAGGGUCUGGCGAGCGAUGCCGAGAUCUGCUGCGGCGCGACGCCGACGCGGUCCGCCACGACCGCCUGCAGCUUCCGCACGCCCAGCGACGGCUACACGGUCACCGUGCCCAGGUCGGAGGUGCAUCGGGAUGGGGACUGCCACCGGGCGGUGCAGCGCCACACCGACUGCAAGGACUCGUGGCCCGGCCAGUGGGACAUCUCCAGCGCCGGCCACAUCUCCGUCGUGGACUCCUCCGUCUCCUCCGCGCGUUUGCAGGAAGCUUAAUAAAGCUUGGACAGUGGUGAGGGCUCCGAUGGUGGUGAUGUUGUUGGGCUGGUUGUGGCCUCGUGUGCGGCAGCAACGGCCUCCCUCCUGUAACCUCUAUCGAUGGCCAUGGCAUGGCAACCUCCACGGACGAGGAAAGGAGAGGAGGACAAGCAGUCCCUGACGCCAAGUAUUCCUCAGGGUCCCAACACAAGGACAAGCAGCAGCAACAACAUCUUCUUCCAUUCAGCCCAAGGACAAGCAGCAGCAGCGACCACAGCAGAUGCAGCCAUGCAGGAGAGGACGAUGACGCUCAGCAGCAGUAGCAGCUCAAGGCGGCGGUGCUGAUUAGAUUUGAUCCUCAAGGACACCCAUGGAUCUUGCUGCAGGAGGUGGGUUUUGGAGAACCAACCUGAGAUGCAGGAGGUGGGUUCUUGUGCUAUGCUCUGCUCGAGCAGGAGGGGCAGGAGGGGUUUGCUCCUCUACUCCUAGGGCGGCCAAGAGGUCCUGCCCCGAGCUCAAGCACGUCCAUGCCGACCCACCACGACAGCAGGUGCCGUCCUUCCAUGGACGAGGAGGACAACGACCUGGACCUCGACGGCGACGUUGUCAACCCCGCACAAGUCCUGAUGAGGCCAUGAUGCUUACCUUGCUGGAGCGCAUCAACCCCGACCAUGGCACCACAUUCACAGUCUUGAGGUAGCCGUGCUGCAACUGCAUCAACGCUAUCUUCUCCGACUAGAUAAGUCUAGGUCUAUCCCAUUAUUUUCUUUUGUUACUUGGUCGAUGAGCCAUGAUGCCAUGACAUAUAUUAUUGUGUUGAUUCCCUAUGUGAUGCAUAAGCUAUGUUGUUUUGUUUUGAGUCUGUUGUAAAUUGAAAUUGAUAAUGAUUUGUGUAAAAUUAGUGUAGAACAUAUAUCUUGUUAUCUUAAUUCGUUCGUGCCGUGCUCAAUGAACCAUCUAAGAUUGAAUCAUUUUCUGCGUUCAACUUCUUGAACCAUUCUGGGAGUUUUGGUAUUCAUGCAACAACUGUGCGAUCUUGUCUUUUGUGAUCUUGUCUUUUGUGUUGUUUCUGUGAGCUGGUCCUUGUGGUUAUUACUGUUACAUGUUACAUGUAGAGAUGCUUCAUGAUUUAGUCCCUAGCUGCUUUCUAUAUUUUGUUUUUAUUUUGUUUCUAACUCUUUUGGUUUAUUGUUAGAUGCCUUUGUUCAGCCUGUACGAACAUAUCCAGAAAUGGUGUUUCCUCUCAUUGAAGGAGCUUUGGCUUGAAGUGACGAAGUCUGGAGUAUAUUUGUAGUAGUAGUUAUAUGUUGUGAUAGUAUCACAUGCAAUGGUGAAAUGAAUUAUGUAAAGAUUGUGCUAUUAGCCAAAAUUGGCAUGUGGUUUGAUAAUUUUCAUUUGUUUGCUGUUCUGACUGAAA